GCUGGCGCGCCGGCGGCGGCGCAUCGAGGAGCUGGAGCGCCAAGUGGCGCGGCUGAGCCGCGAGAACGCCGGCCUGCUGGAGCGGCACCGGCGGCACCUGGCCGCGUGCGCCCGCCGCCCCGACCCCGGCCCCGAGCCGCUGGGCGCCAUUCCGGAGCUCGGCGGCCACCGAGACAAGUCUGAAGGAGAAAGCGCCCGCAGUGUCAGGAGCUCCCUGGAGACCGGAAGCAGCCUCUCCACUGACAGAUACAG
Non-coding RNA from Vicugna pacos (alpaca), 252 nucleotides. Lineage: Eukaryota; Metazoa; Chordata; Mammalia; Artiodactyla; Camelidae. The record is from RefSeq and is a predicted model, not a curated record.